This is a long non-coding RNA of Melitaea cinxia (Glanville fritillary), 327 nucleotides long. RefSeq lists it as uncharacterized. Lineage: Eukaryota; Metazoa; Arthropoda; Insecta; Lepidoptera; Nymphalidae. The record is from RefSeq and is a predicted model, not a curated record. The transcript is spliced from 3 exons.
ACUGUCCACGUGUGUUCGUAACUGCUCUGUACUCGGUGCUUAUCUUUGAAAAUAUUCCGCAAUAUCCGAUAUAACUUGGCCUAGACAUUCUUGGAUACAUAUGCAGGAUUCCUCUUAGCUCAAAUUGACUAUAAAAGCGGUCUGUAUUAAGGUUAUUGCUAUUUUUUUAAAAUAUUAUUAAAGUUAAAUUUGACAUUGAUUGGGUUGCUUACGUCCAGUAAGGUGAUCUAUACAUUAUCUGUACUUGACUAUUAGCGUGAGUUUUGACUAACUUUUACUUUUCGAAAUGAUACCAUAGAACCAUUUUUUUUUUAUAAAAACGUGAUA